Non-coding RNA from Pangasianodon gigas (Mekong giant catfish), 73 nucleotides. Lineage: Eukaryota; Metazoa; Chordata; Actinopteri; Siluriformes; Pangasiidae. The record is from the annotation of a GenBank genome assembly.
GCCUGGCUAGCUCAGUUGGGAGCGUAUGAGACUCUAACUCUCAGGAUUGUGGGUUUGAGCCCCACUCAGGACA